Molecule: long non-coding RNA, 1875 nt
Organism: Spinacia oleracea (spinach)
Lineage: Eukaryota; Viridiplantae; Streptophyta; Magnoliopsida; Caryophyllales; Amaranthaceae
Exons: 2
Source: RefSeq, a predicted model, not a curated record
UAUGGUUUAUUAUGCCAUGAAUUUUUUCUCUAAGACGAGUACCUUGUUUAGCCCGUUGAGCUCCCAGACAGUAUAACUUAUCAGUUUGGCAAAUAAAACAAAAGCAGUUAUGGGUCAAUCAAGUCAUGAUUACUCAAAUUUGCUUAUUUAUUCACAAAAUCCUCCUAAUAAUCUAUUUUUAUUUCGUAUAACCUUCAACUAUUGUUUAUUUGCAACUUAGUCCCUUCCACCCCUAUAAAUACCAUCAUCUUUUCUCACUUAGGGGAGGCCCAACCCCCCAUCAUUCUACUCUCUCUCUAAAAAAAAAAAGCUCUCAUUCACUCACUUUCUCUAAAAAAAUCAGUAAAAAAGGAAAAAAUAUAGUUCAUUCAAGUCAAAAAAUAGUUUUAGUUAAAGUGAAAUCAGAAAAAUCAAAAAAAAAAUAAUUUUUUAGUUUAAUAAAUAUCAAUAUUCAGAAAAUCAAAAAAAGAAGUUAUUUAAUUUUCUUGGACAAUUCACUUUGCAGUCACUUUUUUUAAUUUCAAUUGAUCAUUUGGAUUAAUCUCUCAAACAUUGCUAGUCAGAGCCAAAGAAUUUGACCGACCACGGGCGAGAUUCGAGAGUGAGUGUACGUGAAGUGUGUUUUUAUUUAUGUAUGUUGAUCACCAAAAAAAAAAUAUUUUUCUCAAAAUGAAGUUAAAGUGAGAAGGUGCAUAAGAAAAUUCAAGAGAAAGAUGGUGGAACUAUAGUACUAGCCAAUUUCUUCAUUUUCCAUUUUUUUGUCAAUUUGGUUGAUAAUUAUAUAAAAUAUCGUCACUUUUCAAAAUUCACAAAAUAAUUUUUUUACAGAAACUUGAAGUAUUAAUAAGAUCACGACAUUUGGAAUUUUUCAAAAAUAAGUUUUAGAAAAAUCACAAUAAAUUCUAAACUUCAGACUAGAAAAACUGUCUUUUUCAGGUUCCGAUUUCUUAUUUGGUGAAAUUCGACCAGGUUAAAUUAUUAUUUUCGAAAAUCUCAAAGAAUAUCAUAGAAAGACAAAAUACUAAGCUUUCUAAAUUGACCUCUCUCACCUCCACACGAUUUUUAUUAAAUUUUACAGGAUAUUUUCAAAAACAGAAAUCUAGGAAGAUAGUUUCUUGAAAAUGACAGUUUCAAAUAAAUAAGUUUUAUUUUAUUAAAAAUAUUAAAUAAACUUUAAAAUCUGAGAUUUUUAUACACAUGACUCUAAAAUGUUUCUAAAGUCCAUUUUAAAAAUAAAAACGUGAUUUUGUUUUCCAACAAUUAAUUUAUUGUUUAAUUUGACUUCAAGGCCUCAAAAAGGAGCAGCUUUAAAGAAAACUUAUUUAUAAAUUAUUUACUUUUUAUUUUGAAUCCAUUUUUUAACAUGUUAAAUAAAAAUCUUAUAUCUUUCCAAAAAAGUAUUAAACGCUCAAAUCCGAGUUCGGGAGGUCAUGGUACCAAAUUUAAAGUUCAACGAGAUGUAAUUUUCUCAACAGUUUUUUUUUAAAGGAAAAUUGGUUUUCUCUUAUAAAAUUCGAUUUCCCCAAAAUAAAAUUCUAUUUUUCUUAAAUAACAGAUUAUGUAUUUUUAAAUACUCCAAACCCUUUACCACUUCGUUAUACUUACCUAAAAUCAAUUUAGGUUGAGUUAAGUAAAGUGGAAAAUUCUAAAUAAAUCAAAAUAUAGGUUUUGUUUACUUAGAUCCCUACUUUCCAAACAUCCAAAGCGAAGAAAUAUGAAGACUAAUCAAGGCAACAUGGUUCAAGGCGAAGGGAUCAAGACUUGAAGCUGCUCAUUAGAUAGGAAUUAUGAUUAUUGUAACAUUUAUUGUACUUAUGGCAAUUGUAAACUAAAGUUCCACCAUCAAAUUAAUAAAACAAUAAAGGAAUUAUCUUA